UCUCACCUAUGUAAUCAUAUUAGGAAACAGCUUGGAACCAAUUUCCUCACAUGUCUUACUUCUGCCUCAUCUGCCCCCAAAUCUCUUAAGUUGCUGACUUCAGAGAUGGUGAAGGAUGUUUGUCAAUUUCCCUUCCUUCCCUCCCUCCCUGAUCUGUCUCCGAAAUCUGAUCCUCUCUUUUCCCCCAACCUCUUUUUUCCCCCAGUCUCUUGGAGGUGAUACAGUCUUUCCCACACUUAAUAACUCUUUCCCCCACUGUGGCCAAGAGCAGAUUGUGAUGCACUGCUUUUACUCUGUCUCUCACCUAGUUUUACAUUUUCCCCACCUGUGUUUCUUGGUCCUCAAGUUUCCCAGGAAUGCCACGAAACUUUCACUCAAGCUGUUCAAGGGUGUAUUCCUUCAGCCUGCCAAAAGGCCCUCUCUAGAUGGGUUUUCCCCAAGUCCCCAAGUGCUUUUGCUAACGAAACUGCUGAACGGGAGCUAAUUUAUCACUCUGUUAUCACUAUAUUAGGGCAUGAGAGAGCCAUACCCAGAAUGAAUUAUGGAUCCUUCCAGUGUCCCAUGCAUCCUGUACAUCAAGGGCCUGGCAGUCAUACCUGGCCGGCCUCUUCCUGACUCCCAUGGAAGUCACCUCAACAGUACCUGCUGACAUCUGUAUCCAUCCAGGCCCUUGAGGAAACCACUCUUUCCCAUCCGCUGACAUGCUGCUGAGCUGCUGGGCCAGUUCAGAUGCUGAUACCUUGCUUCGGUGGCCCACUUUCCUGAUGAUGACCUUAGAACUCUUCCUCAGCAAUCACCAUCUGGCUCCACAAAGAACGACAGUUAGGAGACAGGUGUCAUCUGAUUAAUACCGGAGGCGUCUCGAGCUGCUUCCUGAGGUGGUGUGGCUUUCAUGGACGCUGAGGCCGAACAUGGAUGCUGGAUGCUAAGAGGCACUGCAUUCCUUCUACACUGUUCUACCCAUCUACAUUCAUGGAUGAACUGCACUGUUGACAGGUCUGAUUUUCUUUCUGCCACAGUCAGCUCUAUUAUCCUGCCUCAGGCUUGAACCUGCAGCAGCUGAAUCUUGUAUUUGCUCUGCCCGAGGCCUUAACCUGCUGCUCUUCCCUUCAUCCUUUAUUUGUUCCUUCCUUGUGCCACCUGUUUGUCUCAUCUGGCACUAUAAGAAGGCAUCCCUCCAUCUCCUUA
Long non-coding RNA from Acinonyx jubatus (cheetah), 1188 nucleotides. RefSeq lists it as uncharacterized. The record is from RefSeq and is a predicted model, not a curated record. Lineage: Eukaryota; Metazoa; Chordata; Mammalia; Carnivora; Felidae. The transcript is spliced from 3 exons.